Molecule: transfer RNA, 83 nt
Filed under: Candidatus Uhrbacteria bacterium
Lineage: Bacteria; Candidatus Uhriibacteriota
Description: tRNA-Ser
Rfam family: tRNA
About the family: Transfer RNA (tRNA) molecules are approximately 80 nucleotides in length. Their secondary structure includes four short double-helical elements and three loops (D, anti-codon, and T loops). Further hydrogen bonds mediate the characteristic L-shaped molecular structure. tRNAs have two regions of fundamental functional importance: the anti-codon, which is responsible for specific mRNA codon recognition, and the 3' end, to which the tRNAs corresponding amino acid is attached (by aminoacyl-tRNA synthetases). tRNAs cope with the degeneracy of the genetic code in two manners: having more than one tRNA (with a specific anti-codon) for a particular amino acid; and 'wobble' base-pairing, i.e. permitting non-standard base-pairing at the 3rd anti-codon position.
Source: RNAcentral
GGAGGGGUGUGCCGACUGGUAAGGCACCGGACUCGAAAUCCGGCGCCCGCAAGGGCUUGAGGGUUCGACUCCCUCCCCCUCCG